AUACGGAGGGUCCAAGCGUUAAUCGGAAUUACUGGGCGUAAAGCGCGCGUAGGCGGUUUGUCAAGUUGGAUGUGAAAUCCCUGGGCUCAACCUAGGAACUGCAUUCAAAACUUAUAGACUAGAGUACGAUAGAGGAGAGUAGAAUUCCUGGUGUAGCGGUGAAAUGCGUAGAUAUUCGGAGGAACACCAAUUGCGAAGGCAGCUCACUGGGCCGCUAUCGACGCUGAGGAGCGAAAGCUAGGGGAGCAAACAGGAUUAGAUACCCUGGUAGUCCUAGCUGUAAACGAUGGAUACUAGAUGUAGGAACUGGAUUGACGGUUUCUGUAUCGCAGCUAACGCGUUAAGUAUCCCGCUGGGGAGUACGGUCGCAAGACUAAAACUCAAAGGAAUUGACGGGGACCCGCACAAGUAGUGGAGCAUGUGGUUUAAUUCGAAGAUACGCGCAGAACCUUACCAACACUUGACAUGUUCGUCGCGACUUUAAGAGAUU
RNAcentral lists this ribosomal RNA (490 nucleotides) under uncultured bacterium. RNAcentral describes it as "bacterial SSU rRNA". It matches the Rfam family "Bacterial small subunit ribosomal RNA", at positions 523 to 1008 of the family's 1533-position model. The record is from RNAcentral.